This 83-nucleotide transfer RNA is filed under the name Staphylococcus aureus. RNAcentral describes it as "tRNA-Leu". It matches the Rfam family "tRNA". From Rfam's summary of the family: Transfer RNA (tRNA) molecules are approximately 80 nucleotides in length. Lineage: Bacteria; Bacillati; Bacillota; Bacilli; Caryophanales; Staphylococcaceae. The record is from RNAcentral.
GCGGUCGUGGUGGAAUGGCAGACGCGCUAGGUUGAGGGCCUAGUGGGAGAAAUCCCGUGGAGGUUCAAAUCCUCUCGGCCGCA